RNAcentral lists this ribosomal RNA (1583 nucleotides) under Parantechinus apicalis (southern dibbler). RNAcentral describes it as "16S ribosomal RNA". It matches the Rfam family "Bacterial large subunit ribosomal RNA". Lineage: Eukaryota; Metazoa; Chordata; Mammalia; Dasyuromorphia; Dasyuridae. The record is from RNAcentral.
GCUAGAUCUAGUCCUAGAACUACACAACUAAAAUAUCUUAAACUAUUACAAAACAUUCAUUAGUCCUAGUAUAGGUGAUAGAACAGACCGAAUAGGCACAAUAGAGAAAGUACCGUGAGGGAACGUUGAAAGAUUCAAUCCUGUAAGCAAUAAAAAGCAAAGAUCACACCUUCUACCUUUUGCAUAAUGAUUUAGCUAGUUAAAUCGGACAAAAAGAAUUAAAGCCCGCCCUCCCGAAAUUAAGUGAGCUAUUGUAGAACAGUUGUUAGAACUAACUCGUCUGUGUAGCAAAACAGUGAGAUGAUUUUACAAUAGAGGUGAAAAGCCUAUCGAACUUAAUGAUAGCUGGUUGUCCAAAAACGAAUUUAAGUUCAACUUUAAAUUUAACACAAGUAACUACAAACAUAAUUUAAAUUUAAAUGCUAUUCAAAAGAGGGACCAACUCUUUUGACACCGUAUACAAACUUUCCCUAGAGGGAUAAUGAAAUAAUAUACAAAACAUUGUGGGCCUAAAAGCAGCCAUCAAUUAAGAAAGCGUUAAAGCUCAAACUUCACCCUAUAUUUAAUUCCAAUAAUUAACCCAAAAUCCCCUAAACCCUAUAUUGGACAAUUCUAUAAAUUAUUUAGAAGAUAUAAUGCUAAUAUGAGUAACCCGAACACAUUCUCCUUGCACAAGUAUAAAUACAGAUCGGAACAUCCACUUACACUUAACCAAACAAAUAGACAAAACCACACACUAGCAACCUACUACGCACAUUGUUAACCCAACCCAGGCGUGCAUACAAAGGAAAGAUUAAAAGGAAUAAAAGGAACUCGGCAAACACGAACCCCGCCUGUUUACCAAAAACAUCACCUCUAGCAUUUACCAGUAUUAGAGGCACUGCCUGCCCGGUGAGUUAUGACUUUAACGGCCGCGGUAUCCUGACCGUGCAAAGGUAGCAUAAUCACUUGUCUUUUAAUUGAGGACUAGUAUGAAUGGCACCACGAGGGCUCAACUGUCUCUUAUUCCCAAUCAGUGAAAUUGACCUUCCCGUGCAGAGGCGGGAAUUACAAUACAAGACGAGAAGACCCUGUGGAGCUUAAGUCGCAUAACUCAAAACAUACUAACAUCUAACUCAUCAGAAUCAACCUGUAUAAAUACCUGAGUUAUAGUCUUUGGUUGGGGUGACCUCGGAGCAUAAAACAACCUCCGAAUGAACAUAACCUAGAUUAACCAAUCUAAGUGUAAUAAUACCAGUAAUUGACCCAUAUUUUGAUCAACGGAACAAGUUACCCCAGGGAUAACAGCGCAAUCCUAUUUGAGAGCCCAUAUCGAAAAUUAGGGUUUACGACCUCGAUGUUGGAUCAGGACACCCAAAUGGUGCAACCGCUAUUAAAGGUUCGUUUGUUCAACGAUUAAAGUCCUACGUGAUCUGAGUUCAGACCGGAGAAAUCCAGGUCGGUUUCUAUCUGUAAAUUCAUUUCUCCCAGUACGAAAGGACAAGAGAAAUAGGGCCAACGUCCCCAAAUAAGCCCUAGAACCAACAUAUGAAUAAAUCUAAAUCUACUAAACCAAUUUAUCUAACUUUCCCCAAGAACAGGGU